GCGAAGAACCUUACCUAGACUUGACAUCCCCUGAAUUACCUGUAAUGAGGGAAGUCCCUUCGGGGACAGGGAGACAGGUGGUGCAUGGUUGUCGUCAGCUCGUGUCGUGAGAUGUUGGGUUAAGUCCCGCAACGAGCGCAACCCUUAUCAUUAGUUGCUACCAUUAAGUUGAGCACUCUAAUGAGACUGCCCGGGUUAACCGGGAGGAAGGUGGGGAUGACGUCAAAUCAUCAUGCCCCUUAUGUCUAGGGCCACACACGUGCUACAAUGGUGAGUACAACGAGAUGCGAACCCGCGAGGGGGAGCUAAACUCAAAACUCAUCUCAGUUCGGAUUGCAGGCUGCAACUCGCCUGCAUGAAGCUGGAGUUGCUAGUAAUCGCGAAUCAGAAUGUCGCGGUGAAUACGUUCCCGGGUCUUGUACACACCGGGGCACAACGCGAAGAACCUUACCGCCCGGGUCUUGUACACACCG
RNAcentral lists this ribosomal RNA (473 nucleotides) under uncultured bacterium. RNAcentral's name for it is "bacterial SSU rRNA". It matches the Rfam family "Bacterial small subunit ribosomal RNA", at positions 961 to 1441 of the family's 1533-position model. The record is from RNAcentral.